This 226-nucleotide ribosomal RNA is filed under the name uncultured bacterium. RNAcentral's name for it is "partial 16S ribosomal RNA". It matches the Rfam family "Bacterial small subunit ribosomal RNA", at positions 109 to 334 of the family's 1533-position model. The record is from RNAcentral.
CGUAACACGUAUGUAACCUACCUUUAUCAGGGGGGAUAGCCUCUCGAAAGAGAGAUUAAGACCGCAUAAUAUUGUUGAGUAGCAUUAUUUAACAAUCAAAUAUUUAUAGGAUAAAGAUGGGCAUGCGGAACAUUAGCUAGAUGGCGGGGUAACGGCCCACCAUGGCUACGAUGUUUAGGGGAUCUGAGAGGAUGACCCCCCACACUGGUACUGAGACACGGACCAG